ACAUUUUGCCUCUUCUGUGGCUGACUGCUUGAGAAUCCUGAUCCAGGGGUUUAUUCAGACUAUGUUGAACAGAAGCGUUCUGCAUCUUCAGGCUGGAUGUACCCUGCAGACAUCCCUGUCAAGGAGUCCCCACCCCCUAUGUCAGGGGGGCUGAAACUUCAGCUCUCUGGAGGAAACAUUGCAGACGAUGAAGAGGAAAAACAGCUGAAGGAGCAGCUCUGGUAAAUAGGCAGAAUCUUCUGCCUUUUGGAAAAUGCGUUUACCACACUCCUUGGCAAGCCCUUCAGAAGGAGCA
Molecule: long non-coding RNA, 295 nt
Filed under: Cyanoderma ruficeps (rufous-capped babbler)
Lineage: Eukaryota; Metazoa; Chordata; Aves; Passeriformes; Timaliidae
Description: lncRNA (ENSCRFG00000013438.1)
Source: RNAcentral